AAUGAACGUUGGCGGCAGGCUUAACACAUGCAAGUCGAACGGAAACGAUAGGUGCUUGCACCUAGGCGUCGAGUGGCGGACGGGUGAGUAAUGCUUAGGAAUCUGCCUACUAGUUGGGGACAACUUGGGGAAACUCAAGCUAAUACCGAAUAUGGUCUAAGGAUUAAAGGUGGCCUCUUUGCAAUGCUAUCGCUAGUAGAUGAGCCUAAGUUAGAUUAGUUAGUUGGUAAGGUAAAGGCUUACCAAGGCGAUGAUCUAUAGCUGGUCUGAGAGGAUGAUCAGCCACACUGGGACUGAGACACGGCCCAG
RNAcentral lists this ribosomal RNA (309 nucleotides) under uncultured bacterium. Its description in RNAcentral is "bacterial SSU rRNA". It matches the Rfam family "Bacterial small subunit ribosomal RNA", at positions 29 to 334 of the family's 1533-position model. The record is from RNAcentral.